UGGGGAAUAUUGCACAAUGGGCGCAAGCCUGAUGCAGCCAUGCCGCGUGUGUGAAGAAGGCCUUCGGGUUGUAAAGCACUUUCAGCGAGGAGGAAGGUGGUGAACUUAAUACGUUCAUCAAUUGACGUUACUCGCAGAAGAAGCACCGGCUAACUCCGUGCCAGCAGCCGCGGUAAUACGGAGGGUGCAAGCGUUAAUCGGAAUUACUGGGCGUAAAAGCGCACGCAGGCGGUUUGUUAAGUCAGAUGUGAAAUCCCCGGGCUCAACCUGGGAACUGCAUUUGAAACUGGCAAGCUAGAGUCUCGUAGAGGGGGGUAGAAUUCCAGGUGUAGCGGUGAAAUGCGUAGAGAUCUGGAGGAAUACCGGUGGCGAAGGCGGCCCCCUGGACGAAGACUGACGCUCAGGUGCGAAAGCGUGGGGAGCAAAACAGGAUUAGAUACCCUGGUAGUCCACGCUGUAAAACGAUGUCGAUUUUGGAGGUUGUGCCCUUGAGGCGUGGCUUCCGGAGCUAACGCGUUAAAUCGACCGCCUGGGGAGUACGGCCGCAAGGUU
This 552-nucleotide ribosomal RNA is filed under the name uncultured bacterium. RNAcentral describes it as "partial 16S ribosomal RNA". It matches the Rfam family "Bacterial small subunit ribosomal RNA", at positions 355 to 895 of the family's 1533-position model. The record is from RNAcentral.